UAUAAAGUUAUUGUAGGCUCUGUCCGUGUCUAUAUCUCCACAAACAGAGUUCCAGUCUUGCACUCUCAGUUCUCCUUUAAGUGCAUUAAAUGCAUCUUGAGUUUGUAGUCUUUUACAGCUUAUAUUACAGAUUUCUUUAGUUUUAGAAACAUUACAGUCAUAUAUGGCAAAAACAGGCAAGUGGUCCGUAAUAUCACAAAUAAGCAAGCCAUUAAUUAAGUUAUUUGGAAAAAUGUUAUCAAUUAAGGUUGCACUGUGAGAUGUGAUUCUACUGGGUUUUGUUAUUGUUGGAAAUAAGGACAUGGAGUAAAUUUUUUCAAUGAAUUCAUUGGUCAGUUUGUGUUUGUUUGGAUUUAAGAGGUCAAUGUUGAAAUCCCCACAGAUGAAUAAGGAUUUAUUGUUAACUGCUGAAAACAGAUUCUCCAUCUCUCCAUUAAAAGUAUCAACAUUUGACCCAGGUGAUCUAUAAACACAACUUAUAAUAAUGUUUGUUUUUUUCAUUCCAUUAUUGAUUUCUAUUGUUAUACAUUCCAUUACAUUAUCAAGUACAAAUGACAUAUUAUUUAGAACCGAAUAUUUUAUAGUCUUAUGCACAUAUAGCGCGCCCCCACCUCCUGUUUUAUUUUGUCUAUUUAUGUAAUGCAAUUCAUAAUCAUCCAUCUCAAAGUCAAUUCCUUUCUCUUGAUUGAACCAGGUUUCCGAUAUGGCUAUAACACUGAAGGGAUAAAUAAAGUUUUGUAAAUAUUCAC
Molecule: long non-coding RNA, 749 nt
Organism: Rhinichthys klamathensis goyatoka
Lineage: Eukaryota; Metazoa; Chordata; Actinopteri; Cypriniformes; Leuciscidae
Exons: 2
Source: RefSeq, a predicted model, not a curated record